CGGCAGGCCUAACACAUGCAAGUCGAGCGAGAAAGGGGCUUCGGCCCUGAGUAGAGCGGCGCACGGGUGAGUAACACGUGAAUAAUCUGCCUCCGGGACCGGGAUAACAGACCGAAAGGACUGCUAAUACCGGGUAAGCCCACGGAUCAACCGGGUCUGAGGGAAAAGCAUGGGAACCUUCGGGUCCAUGCGCCUGGAGAUGAGUUCGCGUCCCAUUAGAUAGUUGGUGAGGUAACGGCCCACCAAGUCGACGAUGGGUAGCUGGUCUAAGAGGAUGAUCAGCCACACUGGAACUGAGAUACGGUCCAGACUCCUACGGGAGGCAGCAGUGGGGAAUCUUGCGCAAUGGAGGAAACUCUGACGCAGCCAUGCCGCGUGAGUGAUGAAGGCCCUCGGGUUGUAAAGCUCUGUCUAAGGGGACGAAUGUGGUACGGUCCAACAGGCCGUAUCAGUGACGGUACCCUUAAAGAAAACACCGGCUAACUCCGUGCCAGCAGCCGCGGCAAUACGGGGGGUGUAAGCGUNGUUCGGAAUUACUGGGCGUAAAGGGCGUGCAGGCGGC
This 562-nucleotide ribosomal RNA is filed under the name uncultured rumen bacterium. RNAcentral describes it as "bacterial SSU rRNA". It matches the Rfam family "Bacterial small subunit ribosomal RNA", at positions 40 to 579 of the family's 1533-position model. The record is from RNAcentral.